Molecule: ribosomal RNA, 506 nt
Filed under: uncultured bacterium
Lineage: Bacteria
Description: bacterial SSU rRNA
Rfam family: Bacterial small subunit ribosomal RNA
Source: RNAcentral
AGAGUUUGAUCAUGGCUCAGAUUGAACGCUGGCGGAAUGCUUUACACAUGCAAGUCGAACGGCAGCACGGGUGCUUGCACCUGGUGGCGAGUGGCGAACGGGUGAGUAAUGCACCGGAACGUAUCCAAUAAUGGGGGAUAACGCACCGAAAGGUGUGCUAAUACCGCAUACGCCCUGAGGGGGAAAGCGGGGGAUCGUAAGACCUCGCGUUAAUGGAGCGGCCGAUGCCGGAUUAGCUAGUUGGUGAGGUAAAGGCUCACCAAGGCGACGAUCCGUAGCUGGUCUGAGAGGACGACCAGCCACACUGGAACUGAGACACGGUCCAGACUCCUACGGGAGGCAGCAGUGGGGAAUUUUGGACAAUGGGCGCAAGCCUGAUCCAGCCAUGCCGCGUGAGUGAAGAAGGCCUUCGGGUUGUAAAGCUCUUUCAGCCGGGAAGAAAACGCAUGGGUUAAUACCCUGUGUGGAUGACGGUACCGGAAUAAGAAGCACCGGCUAACUACGUG